CUGACUUGGAGAUUCUGUGAAGUGUGUCUAUUUUAGCCUAAAAUUUUAAUUUCCCCACAAUUCCUGUUUAAAUGAAUUACCGAGUAAGAGUCUGGCAGUGACCACAGUCACUAUCACUGCCUGUGACACAAGUAUAUCUCGCCAUGUUGCAAUGUUACAUUGUAUUUGUUUUUUGUUUUUGUUUCAUUUUUGUUUCUCAGAAACACCCUUGUUUGGAUACAGUAUAUGCAUGUCAGAUCUAGUCCAUUGCUGCCAUCUCAGCAGGUGCGUGGGUUGGUAAUUUAUCUGAAUUUCAUUUCUAGGGUUGCUCUAAGAAAUGCUAUCACUAUUGAAACCUGCAUUGCGGUCUAGUUGUGAAACUGAAAAAAAAAAAAAAAGGUUUAAACAUUUUCAUGCACCACUAAUCUGGCAAAAGACUAACUUUCCCGCAGUCAAAGUCUUAGAGAGCAAAAUAACUUGCUUUUGUUUCUGGCCUUAAAAUGUUAAUGGUCGACUCUCACCUCAAAGCUAUUCAAUAUAAAAAUGCUUCCAUCAAAUUUUGAAAGGAAAUAUAUUUUCUUUUAACCCCUUCCCAACCGUGGACGUAUUAGGUACGUCCGACAAACGGUCCUUAAGGACCACGGACAUAGUUGAUACGUCCGCAGCUAAUUAGAGCGCUGGAAGCGGUCAUGAUCGCUUCCAGCAGCUCUAAUGGUAUUGCAGCAAUGCCUCGAUGUCAAGGCAUCGUGCAGUACCUCUCCUUACUGCCGGGUGAUCGCUCCCCUUGGAGCGAUUACGUCCGGGUUGCUCCAUGUGAUGCCCAGCAGUCUUCCGAUGCUCUGCCUGUGUGCUGAGUGCCUCAAGGGGUCGAGGCACUCAGUGAAGAAAGAAGGAAGAAAAAAAAUUAAAUUAAUUAAACCUAUUAACCCCUCGCCCCCUUGACAUGUGGCUCCCAAGAUGGCGAUGCCUUUCAUCAUAGAGGCAGGCUAGGGACAUCCAAUCAGAGCUUGCUCCUAUAACAAUGUUUAUUCUAACUAUGAUCCCCAUUUGUCUGAUCAUGACAGUAUUGGUAAAUAUUGACUCUGAUCAGUGUGGAUAUCCCUCCCUCUCUUCACUUGUGUUUUAGUGAGAGAGGGAGAGAGAUCUGUGUUUUAGGUAGAGAGAUUUAGGUAGGUACCGUAUUUUUCGCUCCAUAAGACGCACUUUUUUUCCCCUCAAAAGUGAGGGGAAAUGUCUGUGCGUCUUAUGGAGCGAAUGUGAAGAUUUACUUACCUGUCUUGGAGCGUGGGCCGGCUUCACAGCGCGCUCCGCGGUCCAGGAACUUCUAUUUCAGGUUCCGGUUUCCGGCGGGACUGAAAGGAAGUGUACACACUGAGUGUGCACACUUCCUUUCAGUCCCGCCGGAAACCGGAACCUGAAAUAUUAGUUCCUGGACCGCGGAGCGCGCUGUGAAGCCAGCCCACGCUCCAAGACAGGUAAGUAAUUAUGGGACAAGGGGAGGGGGAGACACUAUGGGACAAGGGGAGGGGAGGAGACACUAUGGGACAAGGAGAGGGGGACACUAUGGGAGAAAGGGAGGGGAGGAGACACUAUGGGACAAGGGGAGGGGGAGACACUAUGGGACAAAGGGAGGGGGACACUAUGGGAGAAAGGGAGGGGAGACACUAUGGGACAAGGGGAGGGGGAGACACUAUGGGAGAAAGGGAGGGGAGACACUAUGGGACAGGGGGGGCACUAUGGGACAAGGGGAGGGGGGGACACUAUGAGACAAAGGGGAGGGGGGGACACUAUGGGACAAGGGGAGGGGGGACACUAUGGGACAAGGGGAGGGGACACACUAUGGGACAAGGGGAGGGGGAGACACUAUGGGACAAGGGCAGGGGGGGACACUAUGGGAGGGAAAGUGCACUAUGGGACAAUGGGAGGGGGGGACACUAUGGGAUCAGAACACUAAUGGACAAGGGGAGGAUGGGUUAAAGAACAUUAUGGGACAGGGUAGGAGGGGUUAACAAUCACUAUGGGACAGAGGAAAGGGGGGUUAAAGAUCAUUAUGGGACAGGGGAGAAAAAAAAAUAUUCUGAACAAACUGUCCCAUGGUAAGAAACACUAUGGAACAGUUUGUUCAGAAUAUUUUUUUUUCUGGGUUUCCUCCUCUAAAAACUAGGUGCGUCUUAUGGUGAGGUGCGUCUUAUGGAGCGAAAAAUACGGUAUUUGUAAAAUUGUGAGACCCAAAGGCUCUUUUCAGAGCCAUUAACCCCUAUCUUGCCAGUGAUAUAUAUAUAUAUAUAUAUAUAUAUAUAUAUAUAUAUAUAUAUAUAAUCACUGGCUCUUGCAAUCAACACCUUUUUGCUAUAUGUGCAUUUUUAGUGGGUCAUUUUUUAAAAUGUUUUUUUUUGUGACAGUUCAUCAAAGGAUCACUAUAUUGUCAGGAAAACAAACUUGUUUUCCUGACACUAUGUCAUCCUUGGGGGACCCUCACCCUCAGGGUCCCCCUCCAGUGGUGCUGAAGGGGUUAAAAUUUCUCAUUCAGCUUCGCAGAAGUGCCUCUAGCAGCUGUCAGGAAGACAGCCACUAGAGGUUGGAUUAACCCUGCUAUGUUUGCAUGUGAAGGGUUAAAUUUAACCUGAGGGACCUGGCGCCCAGACCACUUCAUUGAGCUGAAGUGGUCUGGGUGACUAUAGUGUCCCUUUAAGUAAAGUGAUUGUGAUCAUGUCACAGAGGAUGUAUAGCGCUGAGGAGGCGUAUAUCCUUGCGCUAGAGUCUGGCGCGUCUAUGUCUGACUCCGACCCUGAUUUUGACCCUGCCAGGUGCUCAGAUACAUCACUAGAUACAGUGUCUGCUGCUCGUAAUGUAUCUAGUUAUGAUGUAUCUGUGGCUGCUAGUCCCCCUGCCAAAAGGAGACGUGCUGCUCCAGCUGACAGUGGGUAGUGCCUCAUCGCCAGAGGCAAGAUAUCACUGCAAAUCCUGGCAUCAAUGUGGGUUUCGCAGGAUUGAGCCCUCAGCAGUUUAUGGAGGUGUUUCUGGGCGUUGAUGUAUUGGGGAACAUUGUCACCCAAACUAAUUUAUAUGCCCAUCAGUUCCGUGCUGCAAAGCCUGACUUUUUUGGCCUUAAUUUAAAAAAUUCUGGGCAUUGACUGUGCUGAUGGGCAUCAUAAAGAAGCCCUCCAGCUGCUCCUACUGGAGCAGUAGCCCCAUCGUCUCUACCCCCAUUUACUCCCAAUGUAUGUCGAGGAAGAGGUAUGAAAUGAUUCUACAUUUCAUACACUUCAACGACAACAGCCUGUGCCCCCCUAGGGAGCAUCCCCAGUUUGACAGGGCUGUAUAAAAUCCACCCCCUGAUUACCCACUUUGCUGCCAGGUUUGCAGAGGCUUAUACUCCGGGAAGGAAUAUAUGCAGGGAUGAAUCCAUGAUGAAGUAUAAUGGAAGGCUGGGAUUCAAGCAGUAUAUUCCUUCCAAGCGCUCCAGGUAUGGUGUAAAGGUGUAUAAGCUCUGUGAUAGCGAGGCUGGGUAUACUAAGACCUAGGUAUACGAGGGAAAGGAUGCCCACCUUGACCCUCCAGGUGUCCCAGAACAUAUGGGAACCAGUGGCAAGAUUGUCUGGGACCUGAUAUUGCCCCUGAUGAACAAAGGGUACUACUUGUAUACAGACAAUUUUUAACCAAGUGUCCCUUUGUUUAAGCUACUGUACUGUUUUAAUACAUUAGCUUGCGGAACAAUAAAAAAGAACUGCGCAGGUUUCCCAGGACAACUUGCACGCACCCGGCUACAAAGGGGGGAGACCUCAGCUCCGCACCAAGAGGAGCUGUUGGCAGUUAAGUACAGCGACAAGAAGGAUGUGUACCUUCUUACCACCAUCCACACUGAGAGGACUGUGGAGGUCUCUGUACCUGGCAGAGAUGAGAGCACAAGGAAGCCAGUGUGCAUCAAGGCCUAUAACCGGCUUAUGGGUGGGCUUCAUCUGGCAGAUCAUCUGCUGCAGUCCUACCUAAUUUUAUGCAAGACAAGGGCUUGGUACAAAGAGGUUGCAAUCUACUUAAUGCAGAUUGCAACCCACACACAAAAGGAAACCCCAGAAUGCAACUGACUUUUUUACAGUUUCAGCGCCAGAUCAUUUCGGGGAUUUUGUACUGUGAUGCACCUGCUCCCCGGGCGGUGAUGGGAGAGAGCAGAGUUGGGGGCUACACAUUUAUUUUUAAACCCCCCCCCUCCCCCCCCACUGCAGCAAAGCAGAAUCCUCCAAAAAGAUGCAAAGUCUGUUUUAAGAGGGGGCAGAGAAAAUAUACCGUAUAUUACUGUCCUGAUUGGCCUGGACUCUGCAUUGGGGACUGCUUCAAACGAUACCACACACUGGUCCAUUUUUUUUCAACAUUUGACAUUGUUUUUUGUUACAUUUAACCUAUGUAUGGGGGGCAUGGGUAUACUCAAGAGGCCUUGCAGAAAACAACCUGGAGUGUUUUCUUGCAAUAACCAGCAACAGGCUCUCCUAAAGUCAAAAAGCAAUGUGUGUGUAAAAUGAAAACUGAAAAAUUACCACUACACACUUUCUCCAUUUUUUUUGGCUAAAACGGUUGCAUCAAAGGCAUCAAAGCACUGCAUAUACAAUACCUCUGGGUUUCUACAUUUCAAAUAUAUACACUUUCAUGGCAAUAAAUAAAACUGGGGUACGUGAUAAGCCCCAAAGAUAGGCCUAUCAUAAGAAAUACUCUCAAUUUCAACUCAAAUUACAAGUCAUACAAUUGUAACUGAACAUUCACAAAAUCCUGGCAAACCUAUGCAUGGGGGGGCAUAGGUGUACUCAGGAGGCCUUGCAGAAAACAACCUGGAGUGUUUUUGUGCAAUAACCAAUGACAGGCUCCUAAAUCACACACAAAUGUGUUUGUAAAAAUGAAAACUGACAAAAACGAUUGCAUCAAAGGCAUCAAAACACUCCAUAUACAAUACCGUGGGGUGUCAACAUUUCAAAUAUAUGCACGCGCAUUGCAAGAAUAUAAAUUGGGAUAUCAAAAAGGCCCCCAAAAAGAAGAUAGGCAAAGAAUAUAUAUCAAAUUUGAAAAACACAUGUCAGAAGUUUGGCAUUGCACCCGCCCAAACAACCCAACAAACCUAUGCAUAGGUGGUAUCAUGGUACACAGAAAAUGUUGCUGAACACAUAUUGGGGUGUUCUGUGGCAGUAACACAUAUCAGGAACUGAGAAUCCAUGCUUAAAAUAGAAUGUGUGUGAAAAAUAACACAAUGACUACCCAAACGUUUGACAGAGACUGGUGGUAGAAUUAGUGCAUGGAAAGUGUUAAAAUACCACCAUUUGAAAUACCCUAGGGUAUCUACUUUUCAAAAACAUAUGGUUUGAUGGGGGCAAAUUACAUUGGCUGGCUUCAAAAAUGUCCCAAGUGGGACAUGGGUGUCUGAUGACCAGCUGUGAAAAUUCCUAAUAAUUUGGAAAACUGGAAUGUGCACCCUCCAAAUAAGGUCUUUUAGCCCCCAGAGAACCCAACACACCUAUACAUGGGGGAUAUCACUGUACUCAGGAGAUGUUGCUGAACACAUAUUGGGGUGUUCUUUGGCAGUAACCCUUAAAUGCAGUAUGGUCUUUGUUAAUCUUUGUGGGAAGACCAUUGAGACUAAUAUUUGUUUUUUAAACACUGUCAGACCCAAGGUGCAUGCAUAUGGUUGAAGGAUCUUGACAUAUGGUAAGGAUGAGAUGUGUGGUUUUUGUUAUUUAUUUAUAUUUUUAUUGAGGUUAUAGUACACUAACAUGCUUGAAUUUCCAGCAUGCGGUUGAAUAACAGUAAGACUUGUACAGAAUAAAUGUCAGGAUCUCAACUGUCAGAAAAAACUUGAUGAAAGGAUUGUAUUGCAUACUUUUGAGGUGACAGUUGUUUUUUUUUUUUUUUGUUUUUUUUUUUUUUAGGUCUGUUCCUUCUACCAGUAGUAGAUUUACAAGCUGAUGAUAUAGAGAUUUUGUCAGACUUCCAUACAAAAAAGUUAAAACAAAACUGAUCUAUAUAAUUUAUAACAUAAACAUGUGUGGUAAAAUCCUGAAACAGAACACAUUAGAGGAUUUUAUCCAGUUUGUCUUUUUAUCCUAAAAUGUGAAAUUCUUGACAAUUUGCAAUUCAGUGAAUAAAUUUAUACAAACCUACACCAUAUCACCAUUUAUAACAUUUUAAAAAAAACAAAAAAAAACCUGUAACCAUGUUAUAUUUGCUCGUGCAUUGUUUAUAUUAUUAUUUCUUUCUUUUAUUGCAGUGUAUUGGUUUUAACUGUGUUCUCAAUCCCUUGUCUAGAAAUUGUCCAUGAAGUGAACAUAUUUGGAUGCCUCUCCCUGCCGUCCUGUGAGAGUUCGAGUCAAUUGCCACCAUCUCUGUAAGAGCAUGAGUUUGUAGUAUCACAUUUGAUUUUUAGGUAUGCCCUGACAAGUUAUACUACUACUAACCUACUACUACUAACCUCCACUGAAAAAUGAACGAUAUAAAGGUUAAAAGGGGGUAGGGGGCAUACCACACAAGACAACACAUGUUUAUAACUCAUGUUAUUGCUUAUUGAUUAAGAACAAACAUCGUUUUUUUGUCUGCAGUAUUUAAAAGCUUAGAGAGCAUAACAACUCUCUUUUCUGGUCUUAAGGGAAAACCGCCAC
This 6614-nucleotide long non-coding RNA is filed under the name Pelobates cultripes (western spadefoot toad). The stretch from base 2208 to 2254 matches the Rfam family "Histone 3' UTR stem-loop". The record is from RNAcentral. Lineage: Eukaryota; Metazoa; Chordata; Amphibia; Anura; Pelobatidae.